UACGUAGGGGGCAAGCGUUGUCCGGAAUCAUUGGGCGUAAAGAGCGUGUAGGCGGCCCGAUAAGUCCGCUGUGAAAGUCCAGGGCUCAACCCUGGGAUGCCGGUGGAUACUGUCGGGCUCGAGUCCGGAAGAGGAGUGUGGAAUUCCUGGUGUAGCGGUGAAAUGCGCAGAUAUCAGGAGGAACACCAAUGGCGAAGGCAGCACUCUGGGACGUGACUGACGCUGAGACGCGAAAGCUAGGGGAGCAAACAGG
Molecule: ribosomal RNA, 253 nt
Filed under: uncultured bacterium
Lineage: Bacteria
Description: partial 16S ribosomal RNA
Rfam family: Bacterial small subunit ribosomal RNA
Source: RNAcentral